Small nuclear RNA from Rana temporaria (common frog), 195 nucleotides. RefSeq annotates it as U2 spliceosomal RNA. The record is from RefSeq and is a predicted model, not a curated record. The transcript has a single exon. Lineage: Eukaryota; Metazoa; Chordata; Amphibia; Anura; Ranidae.
AUCGCUUCUCUGCCUUUUGGCUAAGAUCAAGUGUAGUAUCUGUAAAUAUUGUUUUUUGGAAAUAAAACAGCACCCCUUUGAAUGCUAAUGAUUAAGGUAAUGAUUAAGCACAAGAUGUAUGUGUGAAACGCGUCUACGUGACCCCGUGUUGGCGUCUUUGGUGUUAUCACUUUAAACAAUAAAAGGCAAUCAGAA